Molecule: ribosomal RNA, 788 nt
Filed under: uncultured archaeon
Lineage: Archaea
Description: bacterial SSU rRNA
Rfam family: Archaeal small subunit ribosomal RNA
Source: RNAcentral
ACGGCUCAGUAACACGUAGUCAACAUGCCCAGGGGACGUGGAUAACCUCGGGAAACUGAGGAUAAACCGCGAUAGGUCAUCACUUCUGGAAUGGGUAAUGACUUAAAUCUAUAUGGCCCCUGGAUUGGACUGCGGCCGAUCAGGCUGUUGGUGAGGUAAUGGCCCACCAAACCUGUAACCGGUACGGGCUCUGAGAGGAGGAGCCCGGAGAUGGGCACUGAGACAAGGGCCCAGGCCCUAUGGGGCGCAGCAGGCGCGAAACCUCUGCAAUAGGCGAAAGCUUGACAGGGUUACUCUGAGUGAUUUCCGUUAAGGAGAUCUUUUGGCACCUCUAAAAAUGGUGCAGAAUAAGGGGUGGGCAAGUCUGGUGUCAGCCGCCGCGGUAAUACCAGCACCCCGAGUGGUCGGGAUGUUUAUUGGGCCUAAAGCAUCCGUAGCUGGCUAAGUUAGUCCCUUGUUAAAUCCACCGAAUUAAUCGUUGGAUUGCGGGGGAUACUGCUUGGCUAGGGGACGAGAGAGGCAGACGGUAUUUCCGGGGUAGGGGUGAAAUCCUAUAAUCCCGGGAAGACCACCAGUGGCGAAGGCUGUCUGCUAGAACGCGCCCGACGGUGAGGGAUGAAAGCUGGGGGAGCGAACCGGAUUAGAUACCCGGGUAGUCCCAGCUGUAAACGAUGCAGGCUAGGUGUUUGGACGGCCACGUGCCGUUCUAGUGCCGCAGGGAAGCUGUUAAGCCUGCCGCCUGGGGAGUACGAUCGCAAGAUUGAAACUUAAAGGAAUUGGCGGGGGAG